Molecule: long non-coding RNA, 892 nt
Filed under: Homo sapiens (human)
Lineage: Eukaryota; Metazoa; Chordata; Mammalia; Primates; Hominidae
Description: HSALNT0091444
Source: RNAcentral
CUAAACCAGCCAUCUUCUUCCCUGAGUGUUGCUGGCAGCAGGCCUGAGUUUGGGGGUAGGAAAGGAGGAGAAAGCCACAACUGACAGUUACAGAAAGCUUUUCAUGGUUCACUGACUGAGGACAAUCAACCCCUUCAUAAUCCAUAACCCAAAGAUUGAACUGUCUGAGAACACCAGAGAAAGACUGCUCCUGCCAUCCACAUUGCAGCAAACCUUCAGGACCUUGAACCUUGGGUUCAUAGUCUUACAACUCAGAAGCAUCCCUCCACACUCUCAAAACUGGACAUCCUUGGGAACCCUUAAGGUAAAGCUAACCAGGGAAGAUUUUCUGCCCAGAAGAUGGCAUCCUUUUCCCCAAGAUCACAGAAGCUUUUUCCCAAGAUCACAGAUCAAGACUUCUCUAGUACCAUGAGACUCUUAUCUUUGAAUUUUUCCCCUUGCUAUGCCUCUAUAAACAAUAGAAGUAAAAAUGGAAUCUGUUGUGUGCACUCAUGGGGUAUACUUUUAUUUGUGAAGGAUGCUGCAGCCAUGCAGACUUAUACAUGGAUAACAGAUAUGGUUUGGCUCUGUGUCCCCACCCAAAACUCAUGUUGAAUUGUAAUCCCCAGUGUUUGUGAGGACUGGUGGGAGGUGAUUGGAUCAUGGUUGUGGUUUCUAAUGGUUUAACGUGAUCCCUUUAGUACUGUCUUGUGAUAGAGUUCUCAUGAGGUCUGGUUGUUUAAAAGUGUGUGGAACCUUCCUGUUCACUCUUUCUCCUGCUCUGACAAGUGAAGAUGUGACUGCUUUUCCUUCAACUUCUGCCAUGAUUGUAAAUUUCCUGAGGCCUCUUCAGCCAUGCUUCCUGUACAACCUGCAGAACUGUGAGUCAAUUAAACCACUUUUUUUUUAUAAA